AAUGCGCCAAGGAUCAAGUGGUAUCCUUUUGUGGGCACACGGACAUCUCUUUUAAACUGAAAAUUCUCCCGCAAAAGAUACAGCGAAGAGCCCGUCCGGAG
Molecule: small RNA, 101 nt
Filed under: Flavobacterium sp. 245
Lineage: Bacteria; Pseudomonadati; Bacteroidota; Flavobacteriia; Flavobacteriales; Flavobacteriaceae
Description: Flavo-1 RNA
Source: RNAcentral